UACGUAGGGGGCAAGCGUUAUCCGGAAUUACUGGGUGUAAAGGGUACGUAGGCGGCCCAUUAAGUCAGAUGUGAAAGCCCGGAGCUCAACUCCGGGAUUGCAUUUGAAACUGGUGGGCUAGAGUACAGGAGAGGAAAGUGGAAUUCCUAGUGUAGCGGUGAAAUGCGUAGAUAUUAGGAAGAACACCAGUGGCGAAGGCGGCUUUCUGGACUGUAACUGACGCUGAGGUACGAAAGCGUGGGGAG
Molecule: ribosomal RNA, 245 nt
Filed under: uncultured Defluviitalea sp.
Lineage: Bacteria; Bacillati; Bacillota; Clostridia; Lachnospirales; Defluviitaleaceae
Description: partial 16S ribosomal RNA
Rfam family: Bacterial small subunit ribosomal RNA
Source: RNAcentral